This 492-nucleotide ribosomal RNA is filed under the name uncultured bacterium. RNAcentral describes it as "partial 16S ribosomal RNA". It matches the Rfam family "Bacterial small subunit ribosomal RNA", at positions 29 to 507 of the family's 1533-position model. The record is from RNAcentral.
AGUGAACGCUGGCGGUAGGCCUAACACAUGCAAGUCGAACGGUAGCACAGUAAGAGCUUGCUCUUACGGGUGGCGAGUGGCGGACGGGUGAGGAAUACAUCGGAAUCUACUUUUUCGUGGGGGAUAACGUAGGGAAACUUACGCUAAUACCGCAUACGACCUACGGGUGAAAGCAGGGGAUCUUCGGACCUUGCGCGAUUGAAUGAGCCGAUGUCGGAUUAGCUAGUUGGCGGGGUAAAGGCCCACCAAGGCGACGAUCCGUAGCUGGUCUGAGAGGAUGAUCAGCCACACUGGAACUGAGACACGCUCCAGACUCCUACGGGAGGCAGCAGUGGGGAAUAUUGGACAAUGGGCGCAAGCCUGAUCCAGCCAUACCGCGUGGGUGAAGAAGGCCUUCGGGUUGUAAAGCCCUUUUGUUGGGAAAGAAAAGCAGCAGGUUAAUACCCCGCUGUUCUGACGGUACCCAAAGAAUAAGCACCGGCUAACUUCGUG